UUUUCCUCUUUUGCUGGAAACUGUGUAUGGUAAGUGUUUGGAUUGUUGGUACCAGUGUUGUACCAGUGUCUGUUUAUUACAGAGUUACAAGAACCAACCAGUGUAAAACCAUUCUUAGAAUAUCGUCCAAAGUUUUCAAGCUUGAUUAUUUUCUUUACAAAGGUUACAUGUCGAUGCAUAGUACUAAAUUUAUAGUAGAUUUUCGUCCAAUGUUGUAAGCCAGUAGAAAUGUUUUACGUUGAAUCUAAUUAAAUCUGUCUUUUACAUAAACAAAGGCAAGAUUUUUCUGAAAGCACCUGUACAAAC
This 306-nucleotide long non-coding RNA is filed under the name Mytilus galloprovincialis (Mediterranean mussel). The record is from RNAcentral. Lineage: Eukaryota; Metazoa; Mollusca; Bivalvia; Mytilida; Mytilidae.